RNAcentral lists this ribosomal RNA (253 nucleotides) under uncultured bacterium. RNAcentral describes it as "partial 16S ribosomal RNA". It matches the Rfam family "Bacterial small subunit ribosomal RNA", at positions 524 to 776 of the family's 1533-position model. The record is from RNAcentral.
UACGUAGGGGGCAAGCGUUGUCCGGAUUUAUUGGGCGUAAAGAGCGUGUAGGCGGUCCGGUAAGUCAGCUGUGAAAGUCAAGGGCUCAACCCUUGAAUGCCGGUUGAUACUGUCGGGCUAGAGUCCGGAAGAGGAGAGUGGAAUUCCUGGUGUAGCGGUGAAAUGCGCAGAUAUCAGGAAGAACACCCGUGGCGAAGGCGGCUCUCUGGGACGGUACUGACGCUGAGACGCGAAAGCGUGGGGAGCGAACAGG